This 450-nucleotide ribosomal RNA is filed under the name uncultured bacterium. RNAcentral's name for it is "partial 16S ribosomal RNA". It matches the Rfam family "Bacterial small subunit ribosomal RNA", at positions 354 to 796 of the family's 1533-position model. The record is from RNAcentral.
GUGGGGAAUAUUGGACAAUGGGCGAAAGCCUGAUCCAGCCAUGCCGCGUGUGUGAAGAAGGUCUUCGGAUUGUAAAGCACUUUAAGUUGGGAGGAAGGGCAGUAAGUUAAUACCUUGCUGUUUUGACGUUACCGACAGAAUAAGCACCGGCUAACUUCGUGCCAGCAGCCGCGGUAAUACGAAGGGUGCAAGCGUUAAUCGGAAUUACUGGGCGUAAAGCGCGCGUAGGUGGUUUUGUAAGUUGGAGGUGAAAUCCCCGGGCUCAACCUGGGAACUGCCUCCAAAACUGCAGGACUAGAGUACGGUAGAGGGUAGUGGAAUUUCCUGUGUAGCGGUGAAAUGCGUAGAUAUAGGAAGGAACACCAGUGGCGAAGGCGACUACCUGGACUGAUACUGACACUGAGGUGCGAAAGCGUGGGGAGCAAACAGGAUUAGAUACCCGUGUAGUCC